AACUGGAAGAUACCGCAUUCAUCUUGUCAUAACCCAAUUUUUGACCAUUUUUAUUUUAAUUAUUAUUAUUAUUUUAUUUAUUGAAAAGGAUAAAAAAAUGAUGAAAAAAUAAUAAUAAUGAUGAAAAAAAACAAGUAAAAUGAAAUAAAUGAAGAAUGAAUUAAAAUUUGGGUUAAGGGCAACAUGAUUGGAAGUUUUAGGGUUUAAUUAAACUUUGGAAUUAAUCUAAUUAAGCUUGGAAUUAAUUUAAUUAAUCAAGUCAAGGGUUUAAUUGAAAAACGGAUAAGUUUUGAGACUUAAUUAAGCUUGAAAUUAAUUUAAUUAAUCCAGUUAAGGUUUUAAUUUGAGAAUUGAUAAGUUUUGAGACUUAAUUAAGCUUGGAAUUAAUUUAAUUAAUCCAAUCAGGGGCUUAAUUGAAGAAAUAACAAAGUUUGGAGUUAAUUGGGGGCACGAUUGCAACAGCUUAAAGUCCAAGGAUUAGUUUGUAAAAAACGCCGAAAUACAGGGGUCCAAUUACAAUUUAUCCAGGGGCUUGAUUACACGAUUCCAGAACUUCAGUGACUGGAUUGCAAAUGGCCAUUCCCAUCACACAAAAGGCGCCGUUUCUAGAAAUCAGCCGUCGCCUUCUUCGUCUCCUUCCACAGGAACGGUUUCUGCAGUAAUGGCUUUGAAGCCGUUUCAAUUGUAGAGAUGCUUGGCAUUCUCUGGCUAUAAAGCCAGAGAAGAUGAGAGAGCGCGAGGGGGAAGGAAUCACAGAACCGGAGGGGGACUAAAAACGAAGGAAGAAGAGCAGACAUGCAUUCCUCUGUUUCUUCUCAAAGAAACAGAGGAGGCUAAAGAAAAAGCCACGAACAAAAGGAAGUAAACAGAGAGCUAAACCCAUCUUCAGUUUAGUCCCAGAAUUCAAUCACAACAUAUGAACAGAAGAGGAAAGCAGAGGAGAGCAGAGAGUAAGUAAAAAAACCCAACAAACAGAAACGCAAGAACAGAAACUGUACAGAGGGGAGCAAGUUUUCUGCCCCUGUUUCUUCUCACAGAAACAGAGGCGUUCGUGCCUCACGAUCGUGAGGCACGAACGCGUGAAGAAAGGCCAUUCUCUGGCCACAGCAGGGGAAUCACGGAACCAAGGACAUCCAGAGAGCAGAGAGAACCCGAAGAAAUACCCAGAGGCUAAAAAUCCCAGACGGAAAAAACCCAGUAGACAGGGGGAAAGCUAAGCCCAGACACGAAAAAACCAGGGAGAGACCGGAGAAAAAACUGCUGAAAAACCAAAGCAGAGAAUACACGAAGAAAAGCCAGGGGAAGGAGACAGAGACAGAAACAGGGGAAGAGAACAAAAAGCCAACGUACCCCAGCUUCGCCUUCAUCUUCAGAACACAAACACAGUGAGCAGACGAAAAACCAGAGAAGAAAAACGCAAACAAAACCAGAGGAAGAAGCUUAAAAAAACGAAGAGAGGACCAGCAUCACCACCGACUGCCUCUUCUCCAGCACCAGCUUCCAAAACCAAAGGAAGAAGCUAAAAAGGAGAGAGGAACAAGCAGCUGACAGAAGGAAUACACCGAAAGAAGGGAAACGAACGAACACAGGGAUCUUGAGGCAAGGAUAGACGACCAAGAAAGACUGAAAAAAUCCGGAUCGCCAUUUCCAGCACCAGGUAAGUUGCGCUUUCCCUUCUUGCAUUUUAAUUACAUGCUCCUAUAGCAGGCGUGCGUGAACUGCUCACGCACGCCUGCUGGUAAAAAAAAUGGCCAGCCGGGUCAAGCCUGUGACCCGGCUAGGCCUGCUGGGUCCAGCCCAGCCACAUGGGCUGAGCUGGGCCCAGCCCCCAAAAAAUAAAAAAAAUAGAAAAUAGAAAAUAAAAAAAUAUAAACAUAUAAAAAAUAAAAAAUUAUGCAUGCAUAUAUUUAAAUUUAUUUUUAUUUGGUUUAUUUAAAGAGCUAGAGUCAGCAACACCAUUCAUUUUUGUUUUGAGUUACGUAAUACUUACCAACGCCAGAGUUGGAAGUAUCCGUAGUCGAAUAUUCACUGACGCCAGAGUCAAGAAUAUUAUAAACAAAUCAUCAUAGCAUAAACUAAUAAAUAUUUAGCAAUUUAAGACAAAACCAACAAUGCAGUCUGCCUUAGGCAGAACGUUUAAGGGGUGAUAAUAUCUUUCCUUUUACGUAACCAAUCCCGAGCCAUAGAAUCUCUGUUGACCAGUUAGGGUUCCUAGUGACCAUAAUACUAGGUGGCGACUCCUCAAACAAGACAUUUUCCCCUAAAAGAAUCAGAUGCCAGAAAUCUGUUCUUUUUCCAUAAUAUAAAUCAAGAGAACCAUUAUUUUUUAGGGCCGCCGCGAUGUCGGGUGCGACACAUCUCCCAAAAAAUGUGAGUGCCUCCUAUUUAGUAGUUCAUGCAUAGCAUGUGUCAACAACUUUUAUUUUUUUUAAUUAUAUUUAUAUUUAUCAAAAGAUUAAAUUGCCCCUCAUUCAAAAUUGAUUAUAACUAAAAAAAAAUCAUGAAAUAUAAAAAAGUCACUCGACAUCAGUUUAAAAUUUUUACUUUAAAGAGAAAUGUAGUUAUUUCAUUGUGCAAUCAAAGCAUUAAAAGACCAAAAAUCCUUUGGAUCCUAGUUUUAAUUUCAUUGUUUUUUGCUUUUAAGUAUAUUUAAGUUAUUUAAUUGUGUAUAUAAAAUGUUAAAAGACCGAUUUGUCUCUAAUCAAUAUAAUAAUAACAAAUAGACCUUAUAAAAAAGACUGGUUUGCCAUCAAUAAUUACUUAAGUGAUUUUGUUUGAGAAUGGAAAAAAAAUAUAAUUUUAAUGUUUCAAUCUAUAGUAAUAUAUGUUUAGGUGUACAAUGAAAAAUUAAAAUCUUUUAUUUUUUUAUAAUUAUAAUAUGCAUCAUUAUAAUAUGUGAUCAAAGCAAUUGAAGUGCAUUAUCUUCUAAAAAAAUACAUAAAGAAUCUUGAUUAUUGUUAUAAAACUUGACUAAAUGUAUCAAUUAUGUGGGAUCUUGUCGAACUUGAAUUUUAUAUCAAAUUAGGUUUGGAGUUCACUUGGUCAAAUUUAAUUUUGGUUUGAAUUUUAUAUCAAGCCAUGGAUUGGGCUAGGUUUUGUAGAAAUGAAAGAAAGUCUAUCAAUUGUUUAUGGCAAGGGCAUAAAUUACGUAUGAUCCAAUAUAGAAACACACAGAAGACAGAGAUCCAUAUACGUGGGAACAAAGGCUGGGCUAAGGGAGCUUAAACUCAUAUGAUAAAAGUAUUAUAUUAAUGAUAUAACACAAAAAUAAUUUAAUGGAAUAUUUUACUUCUCCUAGUUUGUGGUAAAGUAAGGCAGUGUUUAUUUUUGUGGUGGCACCGUAUUUUUUUUAAAAUCAUUUUAAAUAUUUUUUGGUAUUUUUAGAUUGUUUUCAUAUACUAAUAUAAAAAAUUAAUUUAAAAAAACAUUAUUUUUAGAUUGAAUCAAGAGGGUUUUGGAUGUGUUGGGAUAAAUCAUAAAAAUAUGCUUUGAAGAGUUCAGGAGUUGCUACCUAAUAUUAUGGUCACUAAGAAAUCUAAUGAUCCGCGACAAUUUGGAUGGAGGGACUAGUUGCGCAUGAGAAAAAUACAUCACCCCCAGUAUACCCUACCUUUGAUAAGCCGCGUUGUUGAUUGAUUGUUUUUUCUAAGAUCAUGUUUUUAUGUUUUUAUUCGUUGAUCUAUCUAAGAUCCAAGAAAAUUUUUCUUGGUAAAGAAAUCCUUAUUUUAUUAGGAUAAAACCUAACCUUUCUAAAGUCCAAAAGAAAUGGGUAAAAUACAUAUCCCAAGCUUAAACAAAAUAAUUUUUGUGGUGCUAUUUGUUUUUUGAAAUUCUGGUCAAAUCUUAACAGAUAAUCACAAACUUGUUGUGAUACUCAUUAAUUGAUCUUUUUCGUAUUUCUUCAAGUAUGAUAGAAUACAAUUUUUAUUUUUUUAUAAAAUAUGGAUGAAAAUUAUAGAAUUUGAUACUUUGAUUUUAUUUAAUUUAGUCCUUGGAAAAGUCUGGAACAACUCCUAAUGUUACGUGUCUUUUGCAGAAAGGUCCUUGGUUUUGAGUUCUUUCAAUUUGGUUCAACCUCUAUACUCUGAUUUUCUUGCAAUUUCGCCCUUGAUUCCAUCCAAUGAACUUUGUAAAAAUUAAAUAUGGUCCUCUAAAAUUUUAAUUUUCUCAAUUAAGUUAACCUUGAAUUUGCACUGUCCAAUUAAGUCCUUGCAAACUAGGCUUCCAGACUUAAUUUAUCACCAAUUAUGCUUUUAAUAAAAUUAAUUUUAUCAAUUAAAAAUCUAAUGAAGUUCUUACACUUAAUUAAUUCUUUUAAUUUCAGCCUAAGUUAAUUUCCAAACUUAAUUAAAUCUUUAAUUAGGCUCAUGAUUAAAUCAAAUCAGUCUAUUAAAUAUCUAAUUAAAUUCUUAAACUUAAUUUUUAUGCAAAUUCGUUCAAUAUUCACAUUAAGUUAAUUUUGAAUUUGCAUUUAGAUCCUUCAAAGGUUCAAUUGAGUUUUCAAUAUUGUCAAAGAUUCAGUUUGGUCUGUCUAUCCCUCAUUUAUGCAUAUAGAUCUCUCUUCAACUUGUUCUUGUCAUCCAAGUCACUUGUCUUCUUGUAUAUUUUUUUUAUUUUUCAACCUUUUUUUGGUAUAAAAGAAAACAAUAAUUUUGGAGGAACUCGAAAUUAAGUUAUGAUAAUUUUGAUAUAUUUUCAAGAGAAAAAUAUUUUAAAUUAAAAACAACUGCUAUUACAAUAUCAAACGCUACCUAGGGCAAAAGAGUAAAUUUUGUUGAAGAGAUCAAAAGAGUAUAAUAUCAAACUUUGUUGAAGAAAAGUAUUAUAUUAAUGAUCUCUUCAACAAAAUCUUGAUCACCCCAAAUUAAUCUCAAGAAGUAGUAGAGGAUCUUUUGAGAGCUAGAGAGCAAGAUUUUGUUGAAGAGAUCAAAAGAGGGCAAACCAACCAUCAUAUAUAUGUUCACAAGACAAUGUUUUUUUAUUUUUUUGAGCCACCUUCCCUUAGCAAACCAUUUUUGUAUAUUUACCAUAAUUUCUCACGUGUAAAGCAAACUUUCAUAUCUUAAAAGGUUGGUCUAGCAUAUAUCAGCCGAAACUUAUUUGCUUUUUUCAGAUCUCAAGCUUAAACCCUUCAUUCAAUAAUAAUAAUAAAAAAAAAAACUUAUAGGAUCACGGGCCACAGGGUAUAAUAAAGCACCUUGUAUUUUUAGACUGCAAGGUUAGUCUGUUACUCGAAAACCAGCCUAUGAUACCCUGUGUUUUUUUUAAAAAAUAAAAAUUAUUGGUUCAUUUUUCCUUAUAAAAAAACUGAUGAUGGUAAGAUGAUUGUCGGUCCAGAUAUUCUUUGCUUGGUUUUUGGAAAGGUUAAAUGAACCAAGACAAAUGGUGGCAUAAAUCAGCUCAUGAGUUGGUGGGAGGCAAGAGUUCAGAGAAUUAAUUAAGAAUAUUGACUUCAAUUCUGUGUCUGGCUCCCUGCUGUUCCAAGACAACAAAGAAUAUUAAAUUAAACAUGUAAAUGAAAUCAAUUUGACUAAUUGGUGUAAUGAAUCUCAUGACUAUAUAAUAUCAUAUAUCAAGAAAAUAUAAUUUAUACGGUCCCAUAGAGUGAUCAGAAAACUGUUUUUUAGGGGGUGAAAUAUUCAAUUAUGAUGAGCAAUAAGAAUUAAUUAAUUACAUAAUGAUUAUAUAUUUAAUAUUGUUCUGGAAAAAAGAAAAAAACUAAUAUUUUAUCCAAUCUCUAUUUCUCUGUUGUCAUCUCUUAAGCAUCUUAGGUAAGAAUUAUUAUUUAUAUCGUUAAGGAUUUAUACCAACUAAAUUUACCAAUCACUUUAACAAGAAUCCAUUGAUUUUAGAUUUUUUAUUAUUAUUAAUGUGGAUGCCCGGACCAGUAUGCGUACACCUCGAUUAAUUUCACGGGUCCUGAAGUUAACGACUAUAUAAGCCUCUAAUAGAUUUAAGAUUUAUAAAACUCGAACUGGUAAUCUAUAAAAUACAAAUCUAAAAUCUGAUGAAUUAAAUUAUACUUUUAUAUUAGUCCUUCAAAGAAUAAAUGAAUGAUGCAAUUUCACUUGUAUAUCAAUUGUUUAAUUUUAACUUUGAACCUUUAUAAUUUAUUAUUUCUUUCCUGCCACUUGCUUUCAACACCUCGUUGUGUUGGCAGAUUUUAUUUAGUGAUUUACCAUAAAAAAGGCUUGGGUUAAUGGGUAAUUUUUUUUAUUUGUUGAGAUUUUUUUAUUUAUUUAUGAAAGCCAUCUUUGCUUUUGAACUUCCGGUGGCAGCUUCACAUCUGUUGCCAAUCCAAUAGCUUGAAGAAACCUUACAACUUACCAAGUCAUGUCAAUCUGCCACCAUUCCAGGCCAUGCUUGGCUGAGUAUCAAAAGUAUGUCAAAAAUUGACCAUCCACGACGGCGUUAGAAUCUUCAUGAUGGAUGAAGUAUUGUGUGCGGUGGUCAAUGCGGUGAUAUGGCUUUGCUCAACUUUUUUUUUUAUUCUUUUUUCCUCCUUGAAAAACACGUUGCUUAAUAAUUGUUUUUAAUAUUAUCCUCUUAUUUUGUUUAAGUUUCUAAUUUAUUCUUCUUGAUUUUGAUUAUUUAAUUUUUAUCUUAUUUCUUUUAAAUUUGUUUUUGGUUUCACUAUUUAUUAAAAUGUUAUUUUUCCUCUUAUUUUUUUUUCAAAUUUGAUUAUUUUUAUUUUGAUUAUUUUUUUCCCGUUCCUUUUGUAAAGUAUAAAAGUUUUUUUUUCACUCUUAAAUCAAACAAUGCUAUUAUUUUUUUUUAUUAUGUUUUUGUUUAAUAUUUAAUUCUCAUUCUUUUAUAUUGCUCCUUUUGUUUUGGAAUUGUUUGUCAAAUUAUUAUUUUUCAAUUUCAUUAUUCAACCCUAAGUUGAUUAUGAAUUUAGAGUAAUCAUGAUUUUUUCUGGUUGGGUUACAUUGGGUUAAUGACUCAGGUUAUGUGUUUAAAAUGUUAACCUAGAUGCCGUCAGCCUUUAUUUUUAUUUUUAAAAAAAAAAAAAAUUUUGAGUUCGUUAUUUUUAAAAUUGAUUUUUUCUACUUUUUGUCAUUCAUCAUUUUUUAUUUAUUUUGCAUUUAGCUUUAUAACUUUUCAUGGCAUGCCUUUUAUUGUGUUGUCCAAUGCGCACAAUCUUAGUCAUGUUAUUUAGUAAGCUAAUCCAAGUUUGUUGGCUUUUUUUUCCAUUUUGUUAAUUAUUUGUUUAUUCAAUCAAGUCUUUCUACAUUGGGUUUGUUAAUAAUUAGAGCUUAAUUACAUGUCUUUUUGGUUUGCUUUCUGAGUUGUUAUCACAACCUCUCGAAUAAGUUGCGGGUUUGGUAGGCACAUUUGGAUUAACUUUGGUCAUAUUGUUUUUUAUUUUCUUUCUAUCGCACUUGAUUAAAUUGAAACUUAUCAUUGUUUAAUAAAUGCUUUUUCUUUAUCCCUGUUAUUUUUUUUUUUGACAUCUUAUUAGUUAAGAUAACUUAUUCAAUUUAGCCGAGUAUAUGAUCUAAAUCGUGAUUUUUUUAUUAUUUUUUUAUCAAAACACACUUAUCGUCUUUUAAUAUUCUUUUUUAAUGCUAUUUUUUUCCCCGGACCACGAGAUUAGUCAUGUCUAAAACAUAUUGACUCAUGGGAUAUGUUUAUACACACAUAUACAUCUGACAUAAGCUAAUUAAGUAAUAUUUAUAAUAAAUAAUUUUAAAUAUCAGAAAAAAUGAUAAAAAAUCUAAAAAUAAAAAUUUUUGAAGGCCUCGGUAGGGUUAAAAUUAAGAAUGUUGAAUUGGUCAAUUUUGUGUAUAAAAUAAUUGAUCAUAGGCUUUUCAGCCUAUUUGUAAGAUAUCAUUCGGCCUAGUGAAUCAACAUUCGGUUUGCAAGCAUAGAUUAAAUUUUGAAAAAAAAAAUUAAAAAGGACAUGUCCUAACUUUCCUCUGUGAGUAACCUAUAAUUAAUAUAUGUUGCCAUUUGUCUAGUAGAUUAAUUACAACCCAUCAAUCUUAAUGUGUAAUAUGUUGAAAUUAAUGAUGUGAUAAUGACUUCCAAUUGAACUCCUGCAAAUAUUUUAUAGCGAUUAUGAACCAUUUUCGUGUUUAAUAUUAUAUCAUGAAUCUGGGAAUAAAUUUUAAUAGAUAUCUCAAAAGAGACUCACAUUUCCUCCAAAUUAAGAUUUAAUUUUUUUCAAUAUUUUCGAAGUCCAAAUAUUCUGUGAAAAAAAAAACUGUACACCAUGCACGUAUAUAUAAUAGUAGAAUUAUAUUAUAUUCUUAAAAAGAAAAGCUUCUCAUAAUUUCAUUAAUGAUAUCACACACACACAAACUUCAAUUGUUGAAAGCCAUCCUUUGCUUUUGAACUUCCGAUGGCAGCUUCACAUCUGUUGCCAGUCCAAUAGCUUGAAGAAACCUUACAACAUACCAAGUCAUGUCAAUCUGCCACCAUUCCAGGCCAUGCCUGGCUGAGUAUUCAAAAGCAUGGUGAUUAUUAUGCCAACCUUCUCCAAAUGUAAGCAACGCAAGCCACCUUAAAAAAGUUUGCAGAACAAAAUUAUUAGAAAUAACCAAAUCAGAAUGAUAAAAGCUAAGAGCAAAAGGUAAUUACAAAUUGUUCCUAGACAAGUCGCCGGUGUUCCACGCUCGCUUUCCCCAUAAAUGAGAAGCUGAGUUUACUAGCCAAGUGAAGUGCAAAGCCAGUACGGUUCUCACACCCUGAAAUGGUCAGCAGUAAAUUAGUUUUGUUGCAUAAGGUAUACAAGAAUUAACCUAAUUGACUACUGAGGCCUGAGGGGUAAUAAGUGUUUAAAUUUUCAUGUUCAUUUCAAUGUAUGGUCACCGAUCAGAUAUGAAUGAGUACAUCCUGAGUUUAUUAGCAGACAAUAUUGCCCUUUCAUUUUACACCAUGAUUUUCGUGCCAUUUGCCAUUUACUUCCAAUGAACUUGAGAAAUUCGUUCCAAGAGGUUGCGUUUGAUGAAAGUUCCAGUAAAAAAAGACAAAUACUAAUUUUGGCUAUCUCUGCAUAUUUUCAUUAAAAAAAAAGAGAGAGGAGGACAUGAGAAGUAUUCCAUACCAUUCCCCAUACAAGGUAUGGAAAUCCUCCCACUGCAUAUAGCAGAACUCCAAGCGCAAUUGGAUGUAGAAAGUACGUGUUUUGCAUGAACUUGUAAAAGGGUUGCUUCUCUAAAUCCCCAACAUUGUUUGGUCCUCCACACUACCAAAUCAAAUAUUUUUAACAGAAUAAGCAGCAAUAACACAAUUUCACGCUAGGAAAUUUGUUCAUUUGUGUGCGUGUGAGGAGGAUGAACAUACAGACCUUUUCAGUAAUAUAAUUAUUGUCAAAGAGCCAAGUGAUGUGACUAAACCAAAACCCUUCAGUAGGGCUAUGCGGGUCUCUCUCAGAAUCACAAAACUGGUGGUGGUGUCUAUGAGUGCUAACCCAAAAAAUAGGAUCCCUCUGAAACCAACAUAAAGCCAUUAAAAAUUGAAAACACAAAAAAUCAAGGAAAGAAAAGGGGAGGGUGCACUUACUUGAAGAGCUUGAACCCCACAGUAUGCAAAAAAAUACUCGAGCCAUUUUGGAAGCUUGAAACUCCUAUGAGAAAGAUUCCUAUGGAAAGAAAGAGUGAUACCUAGAAGUCCAGUGACAAUACCGAUGCCAAGGGCAACCCAAAAUGCAGGCCAAGUGAAAUAAAAAGGUGCGAACAAAGAUAGAAAAUGCACUGACGAAACUAUAGCAGCAUUGGCUAUAUCUGAUGAAUUCCAUUUCCUGCCCCAAAAUACCUGCCUUCUUCUCCUCACCACCACAUCUGACAGAAAGAUUUUCCCGAGGUUCCUAGGCUCGGCCUCUGAUAGAGGUGCAUUACCAGCAUCAGCCACUACUUGUAGUGCUUUUUUUGUACUGCUAUAAUUCUUAUUUGAAGCAUCCAAAAGACUUGAUAAUUUUUCUUUUUUGCAUUUGUUGGUUGUUAGUGGUAGGAACUUGGGGUUAUAGUGACCAUAAUUUAGGAGUAUAGCAGGUGGAGAACCCAGUUUCUUAGCAUGGGUAAAAGGCAAAAAAAGGCAAGGUUUGGAUUUGGUUAAUGGAGAUGUCAUCAAAGCCAUUGAGACUUAAAAGAGGAUGUAUUUUGAUAGAACUGAUUAUUUUGCGGGGGUUUAUAUAGUGAUGGGUUUGCGGAAGAGUAAGUGACUGGUUGUUUAUAAGGUAAUGCUGCUUUUCAAAAAAAAUAUAGUAUAAACGGCACAGUCAAAAACUCCUUUAAGAGAUUUGUUUGAAUGUCAUGUCAAAUUUAUAGAUUAUUGGUUACUUUUUAGUUUAAACUAUGGAAGGGAGGUAGUGUAUAUUUUUUAUUUUAAAAGUAUUUUUAAAAAAAUUUAAAAAAUAUAUUUUCUUUUUUAAUUUUUAUGUUAGAUUUUUUUUUUUAGUUUUUUAUGUUUUUGUGUUUUAACAGUAUAUUUUAAAAAAUUAAUUUUUUUUAAAUUAAUAUUUUUUAAUGUUUUUAAAUCAUUUUAAAGUGCUGGUAUUAAAAAUAAUUUUUUAAAAAUAAAAAAAUAUUAUUUUAAUAUAUUUUUAAGUAAAAAUACUUUAAAAAAAUCCAAUUAUAUUUUUAAAUAAAUUUUUAAUUUGAUUUCUCUUUUAUUUUUUACAUUUUAUUUGUGAUCAAAUUGAGUUAUUUGUCGUAUAGAUUUUGUUUUGCUCAUGAGUUGUCAAAUCAUGUUUGCUGUGUUGCAGGGGUGGUGUAAUUAGUUGUCGUUAGGUGGGGGUUCAAUGUGGUGAAAUAUUUUUAAAAACAACCUUUUUCACAUUCCCCAAGAACUCAUUCAUCGUCGUACGUUUGUCCAUUCUUAAAGUUUGUAAAAGUAGUGUACAGCUGAUAUAUAUAUAUAUAUAUAUAUAUAUAUAUAUAUAUAUAUAUAUAUAAAUUUUUUCUAACUUAAUUUUUUUAGAUAUAUAUAUAUAUAUAUAUAUAUAUAUAUAAAUUUUUCUAACUUAAUUUUUUUUUUUAAAUGAUGAAGGUGUUUUUAAAUAGGUAAGAAAAACUAGAAAUCUAGGUCGAGUGAUUAAUCGAGAAAAAUAAGCUUGUCUAUAUUAUAAAGGUAUAUUUGAAAUAUUAUUAAAAUAUUUUAAUAAUGUUAUUUAAUAAUAAAACAAAAAUUCAAUCAGAUUAAAAUAAUCUAAUAAUUAAAAAAGUAAAUAAAAGAUUUUAAUUACCAGCAAAUCAAAUGUUAAAUGUUGAAGGACAAAAUAAAAAAAUUAAUUUUAAUAAAAAAACAAAAAAAAACUUGUUUAAUAAAAAUUGAAUAAAAAUAAAGGUCAUCUUUUAAGAAAACUAAAUGAUAAAAGAUGAAACUAAAAAAAAUCAAUUUAAAUUAACUUGACUAACCAACUACCUAAGAAAUAAGAUUAGGAUAAUCCUAUUAAACAAAAGUGGCAAAAAUCAAAAAGCUGAACGCCCAAUAACCUAAUGUCAAAUAAUAAAAUUGAAGAAAAAAUCAUUUUCUUAUUAAAAAACCUAAAAAAAUCGAAGUCAAAUCAAACUAAUCUUCAAACUCUAUGAUCCGGGUCAUGAGAUUGGGAUUACCCUAUAGAAAGCAAAUACAAAAUGUCAUGAAGCAAAAUUAUAUAGGGACUUUAUUUAUAAAAAAAAAACUAAAUGAAAGAAAGUAGUGAGGGACUAAAUUGGAAAUAAAAUAAAUCAAGAAAAUAAUAAAAACAAAAGAAUAGCAAUCAAAAGAAUAAGGACUAAAUUAGAUACAAAAAUUAAAUGAAAGAAAAUGCUGAGAGACAAUUUAAAAAAAAAAUCAACUUCAAAAAUUUAAAAGCAAAACAAAUAGCAAUCAAAAUAAUAAUGAUCAAAAUUCAUAUAAAUACAAAUUGGCAUUACACAUUCAACUUUUAGAAGACCUAGCGCGAAAUUUGAGGUGAGGAGAGAGAAAAUAGGGAGGAAAAGAAAAAAAAAUAUCUAUCACCGCCUAACCACUACGCUACCAUGUACACAUACUGACUACCGGGAAGAGAACAUCACAACACUUUCAAUGCUAUCUUGGAAGGUGGUGUUUGACAGCUGGAAGAUACCGCAUUCAUCUCCCAAGAAAUGUGAGUGCUUCCUAUUCAUUGGUUUAUGCAUGACAUGCGUCAGCAACUUUUUAUUUUUUUUUAAGAGUAUUUAAGUUAUUUAAUUGUGCAUAUAAAAUGUUAAAAGACCGAUUUGUCUCCAAUCAAUAUGAUAGUGGCAAAUAGACCCUAUAAAAAAGACUGGUUUGCCAUCAAUAACUACUUAAGUGAUUUUGUUUGAGAAUGGAAAAAAAAAUUAUUAUUUUACGGUUUCAAUCUAUAGUAAUAUGUGUUUAGAUGUACAAUAAAAAAUUAAAAUAUUUUAUUUUUUAGGUUUGGAAUUUACUUAAUCAAAUUUAAUAAAUUUGAUUUGAUAGUUGCAGGGGUAGUGUAAGAAGUUGUCGUUGUUAGGCGGUUGUAGUAGUGAUGAUGGUGGUUGCGGUAAUGAUAAUGAUAGGGAUGGUGAUAAUGAAAGCAGUUAUACUGAUUGUUGCAGUAAUGAUAAUGAUAAAAAUGGUGGUGAUGAAGGAUGAUUGGUUAAAGAAAAGAAAAAUGGUAAUGUGGUUCUGCAAUCAAAGGGCUUGUGUGUGAAGGCCUAAAGUUUCGUUUUAUCUCCACAACCGCGCAAAUGGAAUCAAUUCCUUCAACUGUCCUGUUCAGGGCACAAAUCGUGAUUCGAGAUUUGGUUUGUGGAAUGUAGGAGUCAUCAUUUUUAAUUCGGUUUGGUUUUUAUUAAAAAAAAAUAAUUAAAUCGAAAUUUUUUUUUAAAAAAACCGAAACCGGUUCAAACCGCCCGGUUUCGGUUUGGUUUUUUAGGACAAAAACUGAUUCAAACCGGUUUGGCUCGAUUUUUUCAGUUUGGCUCGGUUUUUUUUGUUUGGGUUCGGUUUGGUUCGGUUUUUUCGGUUUUUUGCUUAUAAAACCAAAACCAAACCAAACCGGCUAGUUUUUUUAAAAUUUUAAUCGGUUUAAUCUGUUUUUUUACGGUUCGGUUUUUUCAGUUAUUUUUUUUCUCAGUUUAAUCGCUUUUUUAAUUUUUUUUUGUUCAUCUCCAGUGGAAUGGGACGUGUGGAUUGGUUAGCUUGAUGAAUGCAUUUGGUUCUGGCUGAUAGCUGAAAAUUGUGGUAGUUGAUUUUGGUGUUACAAGCAGCUUUUGGCGAUUAUUGGAGCAAGUGUGGCGCGUCCAAAAUAGGCAAUCUAGCAACCCAAUUUGUGAUUUCAUGCUUUCUGCAAAGCUUCAUGAAAAUUAUGUGUAUUUCAUGGAAUGUAUAGGUUUACAAUAUUG
RNAcentral lists this long non-coding RNA (13316 nucleotides) under Populus trichocarpa (black cottonwood). RNAcentral describes it as "long non-coding RNA (PTRI_LNC002806)". Lineage: Eukaryota; Viridiplantae; Streptophyta; Magnoliopsida; Malpighiales; Salicaceae. The record is from RNAcentral.